CAUUUGGAACAUAUUGCAGCUUAUUGUCUGGGCGCCAACAAGAGAAAAAGCAAUUGAGCGAAUGAAAAGGGCUCUUGAUGACACUAUUAUUACUGGAGUUCCGACGACUAUAGAUUACCACAAACUUAUCCUUGAAAUUGAGGACUUCAAAAAUGGAAAUGUUGAUACCGCUUUCAUUCCGAAGCAUGAAAAGGAGUUAGCAGCGCCACAACAAAUCAUACCAGCCAAACAGUUGACCAAUUCAGCCGCAUAAAUAGAUCACUUCUCAAAUCGCAACCAUCUUCAGCUAAUUUUCAAGCGCAGUUAAGAGGCCAGGUUCUUAUGCGAAUCUGCUGGAAGCUUUCGUUUUCCUUUCCUUUAGAACUUGUAAAUUUCAACGUGCCAGACACGGGAGAAUUAUUCAUGAAAUUUUGAUGUAUGCUGUAUGCAUUCCUUUUAGUUGGGGAUGAAAAUGGGGUAAAGUACAUCUUGCUCAUACAAUACUUGGAUGGUGAUGUUUUUAGUCAAGGCUGAUUCGAAAUUUCUUGAGAUGAAGGGAGAAAUUUAGCUCUA
This is a long non-coding RNA of Populus euphratica (Euphrates poplar), 552 nucleotides long. RefSeq lists it as uncharacterized. The transcript has 4 exons. The record is from RefSeq and is a predicted model, not a curated record. NCBI's taxonomy places the organism in Eukaryota, Viridiplantae, Streptophyta, Magnoliopsida, Malpighiales, Salicaceae.